ACGCUUGGUGACGGCUACACUUGCAAAUUUUGGCGUGAUCACUGGCUCCAAGGGCAGUCCAUCUCCGAGAUCGCGCCAACCCUACUUACUCAUAUCCCGCGUCAGCGCCGGAACAAGAGACUUGUCUGCGAGGCCCUCUCAGAUCGUUGUUGGAUCACGAACAUCCAUGGCAACCUUAGUCCUGCGACAAUCCUCGAGUAUGUGGAACUUUGGAGGCGUCUUCAGGGGAUAACCCUCUCUAGCGAGCCGGAGCGGCUUUCUUGGAAAUGGACCGCUCACAGCACUUACACGGUGAGCUCUGCCUACAGAGCGCAAUUCAUGGGUGCCACUACUUCGCCCCACUGA
Molecule: ribosomal RNA, 345 nt
Filed under: Triticum aestivum (bread wheat)
Lineage: Eukaryota; Viridiplantae; Streptophyta; Magnoliopsida; Poales; Poaceae
Description: partial small subunit ribosomal RNA
Source: RNAcentral